CAAAAGACGAAAACGCUCAAAAAGUAAUGAACAAAUUUAAAUUUUGCGUGAAAAAAUCAAUUUUAACUGCAAAAUAUUACUGUGCGAUAAAGUUCAUUGUAGGUAAAAUUCUCCAGGAUUUUAGUGGCAAUCGCCAGGAACUUAACCUCCAGUGCGCGAGCUAUGGGCGCUAUCACCUCAUUCGUGAAGAGCUCAAAAUUCUCAUUGAUCGUCUGAUUGAUAA
This 223-nucleotide small RNA is filed under the name Drosophila virilis. RNAcentral describes it as "GJ26918". Lineage: Eukaryota; Metazoa; Arthropoda; Insecta; Diptera; Drosophilidae. The record is from RNAcentral.